GCCUAUGGCCAUGCCACCCUGAACACACCCAAUCUCGUCUGAUCUUGAAGGCUAAGCAGGGUCGGGCCUGGUUAGUACUUGGAUGGGAGACUACCUAGGAAUACCAGGUGCUGUAGGCC
RNAcentral lists this ribosomal RNA (119 nucleotides) under Pteropus alecto (black flying fox). Lineage: Eukaryota; Metazoa; Chordata; Mammalia; Chiroptera; Pteropodidae. The record is from RNAcentral.